UACGUAGGGGGCAAGCGUUGUCCGGAAUCAUUGGGCGUAAAGAGCGUGUAGGCGGUCAGGUAGGUCCGUUGUGAAAACUCGAGGCUCAACCUCGAGACGCCGAUGGAAACCAUCUGACUAGAGUCCGGAAGAGGAGAGUGGAAUUCCUGGUGUAGCGGUGGAAUGCGCAGAUAUCAGGAGGAACACCGGUGGCGAAGGCGGGUCUCUGGGCCGUUACUGACGCUGAGGAGCGAAAGCGUGGGGAGCGAACAGG
RNAcentral lists this ribosomal RNA (253 nucleotides) under uncultured bacterium. RNAcentral describes it as "partial 16S ribosomal RNA". It matches the Rfam family "Bacterial small subunit ribosomal RNA", at positions 524 to 776 of the family's 1533-position model. The record is from RNAcentral.